AAUAGUUUCUUUCUCUGUAAAGGAAGGUGUAUAACUGCCAGGGCAGACAGUUUUAAAAGGAAUCUAGAAAAUUAAAGGCGGAUUAAAAGGCGUGAGGUAAUCGCGACAGUUAAGUAGCUUACCUAGAAAACGGAUCCUGCUUCUGUUUCGCUGUACUUUGGACACAAAUCGGCGAAAGAAUACUGUAGGGACCUGGUGUUUCUAAUUAGGAAAUAGAUCAUUUUUUUAUAAUGAGCCAUUGUUGAAGUUGACUUGAACAUCAGAAGUAUGUUAAAUCAAUUCCACGCGAUGUCCAGUUACUACAACUUAAGAAAAUUAUAAAUGUUGUAUUUGUAUUGAAAUAGGAAGCAAAUAAAUAUCUGGCAUACAAAUCUCCUUGGAAUGCACUACGAGGAUAUCCUUCUUUAUGGAUUGUUUAAAUUAAGAAUUUUGACAUGGAUUCUGAAGUAAUACAACAGACGUGGCACGGGCUCGAAAGUAAAAUGAGGAACGUUGGUUUAAAAGAGGGCCUGUUCGAUGGGCGUGCCAGCAAUUUUCAAGUUGGGUUUGAUAGUGGAUACAAGAUUGGUCUUAAAAACGGGUUUCUAUUGGGCCAAUACGUUUUCAAUAAUAGCAAAAUGGGCGAAUCACCAUCUAACCAUCGCAGCGCAAACGGAGAAGUAUCAGAAGACCCCAAGAGGGAAUUGUGCGUUAUUUGCUCGGGAGAUACGGAAAAUUUAAAUUUUAGUGAAAUUAAAAUGAAACAGGAUAAACUUAUCAAAGCAAGGUUAAAAAGUAACCAAAAUAAUGCGGAGCUAAACUAAGAGAAAAAGCAACGUGGCGUAGGAAGCGCGAGACAGAAUUUUGAACAAAGUGGUUCACUUUUUUAUUGCGACUAUAAUUUUGAGGACUAGAGUGAAAAAUUUCCCGCACUACGAGCUGCAAAACUAAAGCAAGGAAGGAUCCUCAAACAAGGUUUUCUAGGAAAAAACAAAUAUCCGAACUUGAAAAACAUUGUAGAAAACUUGUUAGAGAAAUUUAGGGAUAAAACUACACUUUUUACACUCGCAUCUGGAUUACUUUUCCGAAAAUCUUCGUGCCGUCAGUGAGGAGAAAGGUGAGAGGUUCCACCAAGAUAUAAAAGCAAUGGAACGCAGAUAUCAAGGUCGAUGAAACGUUGCAAUGAUAGCAAUUUACUGCUGGUUAUUGAAAAAGGACAAUCCGCCCAUGGAAUUUACAAGAAAAUCCACUAAACGAAGUUUUUCGGUCAAGAGGGGGAGAUCUUCCAAAAAUAAAUGGACUUAGCUAAUGUUUCAGACUUUAUUAUUUAAUUUAGAUUUUUUAAUUCGGUUUUUGGUCUUGUAUUAAAAUAGUCAACGGAGAUUUUCAUUUACUAAUUCUUUAAGUUAAUACUUGUGAGCUCUGCACCGUAUAUGCACCAACCGCUUCUGCCUCGAUGUAUAUUCUCGAGAACUUAAAAUUUGUUAGGAACAAUAUACGCUAAUAUAACACAGAGUAUAUAGCUUUUGCCACAUUCCGCAUUUGGAUCGCCACUCUUCUUUAUUUUUCCAAGCAUUCGCUCUUAUAGCUCUAUCUUCCAUGUUUUUCAAAAAACCGCUAAUCCACGAGGUUAUCGGUGUGCUCCGUUCCCGUUUGUUUACUAAACAAUAUUGUAAUUGUAAUGCUCGUUUUGGCUAUCUAUAUUCGCCUAUGCGCUGCGCAUGUCCGUACCAUAUUAAUUGUCUUGUUUCUGUUUGUUCUGAUGUAUGUAUUCUUUCCGUCUUCGGUCUUGUUUCAUUAUUUGUCCUGCGUUCAGUCCUUGAUAUUACACAAGCCCUUCUCAAAUAGUUAAUUUCAACUAUGUCUAUUUUUUUCUUUGUUGGCCUGCAUUGGCGGGUUUCAAGUUGUUCGUUUUUCUAGUAUUUGUUGGGGACUGAAAAUAUUGUCUGUAUAAGAACUCGAAAGCCGACUUCAAUACUCCGCUUCUAUGCUCCUUUUAAAGAUACGAACAUACAACCUUUCCAAAGAACAGCUACACUUAUGCUCUUAUAAUUGUAAGAUGAUUUUCACCCUUUUUAUAUAUGGAGCUCAUAUGUGUGAAGUUCCAAUCGGGUGGGAUAUUCUGACAUCAAAUUAGGCACUUAUUGAAAAUUCGUACCAUUGCUUGCAACAGGGUCUCUGGUUCACGUUUCAUCAGCUGGAUGGGAAGUUCUCCAGGGGCUGAAGCUCUUCCAGUAUUCAUUUCUUUCAGUUCUUUCUUUAUUUCUUCGCUACUUAUUGCUUGUAGCUUUGCAUCGUCUAUCAUACCAUCGUUCAGUUCUUCCAAAAAAUUCUAUCCUACCUUCUGUUAAUAGUGACUUGUAGUGUUCUUCUUAUUCAUUCUUUUCAAUUUGCGUCAACCGGGGUAAUAGUAAACAAUUUUCGCAAGUUUGAUAUUUUUUCAAUUUCAUCUGUGAGUUAUGACUCUACUGUUUUAAUAUUAACUACAAAAUAAUUUUUGGGGCAUUAUUUAGACCGUAAACUAUACUAAAAUGCAGAAUAAUAUUAAAAAGAAAAAUCCAGGGCAGGUUCAAGAAAAUGCAUUAUUUAAGGGGUAUUAAGCUUAUAAGGUAGUAGAUAUAUAUUUUUUAAUUUUGGUCAGUGUUUAAAUUUACCACAACGUUAUUGGAGAACAUAGCAUAUAUGCUUGAAUAGUUUAUUUGACGUUUAUCUUUGAAAACCUAGGUAUAAUUUAUUACAAAAUUUAUAGUAAUACAUUCGGAAAAGAAAACAAAUUAACACUGUUGAACAAUAGAUAACAAAAUCGGGAUUAAAAUAAGAGUAUUUUACGAAUGAAUACAAGGCCCUUCAUUUUCAAAAUGAUCAAAUAUUCUCUCGCCUUUCAUUUUAAUUGUGGGAACAGGUAUAACUCCCAAUAUUUGCUCUUGAAAAACAAAACUAACGUCACUUUGAUUGAUGGCGAAAUUUUGGUAUUUUUUGUCAAUAUAUUUGAGAUUACUACUUAAGUGCAUAGUCGUAUUUCUUUUACCACCAGUGAAUUUGACAAGAACACAAUCACCAUUUUUCAAAUCUGAUAACUGAGUGGUCUUGAAAGUGAUUACUUCUUCAUUUUUGUUGAAAUCUUCUUCCCAGGGGCUUUCUGAAUCACGUUCAUAGGAUUCAAUUGAAUCAUCGUCACUUGAGGAACUCUCUGUUUUUUCUGCCUCUUCUUUUUCAUAUCUUUCUUUCCCAGGCUUCUUCACUCUCUUUGGCCUUUCCACUCUCUUUGAUGGUACAGUAGUUGAUUUUUGUUUUUUGGUCUUUUCCAGUAAUUUUUGUUGCGUUUCUUUUAGCUUUUUUAACACCUCUGCUGUAGUUAACACCUCUCCACAACUGAGUUGUUUCAAUCUUGAUAUUACUAUCUCUUAUGAAGGUGAUUGUGUUCUUUUAACAAUAGUAGCGGUCUCUAAACUUUUGGUUUGAACAAUAUUUAUGUCCCGUCUUCUAGCUUUUUCCCAAAAUUUUUGUAAAUGCUCUGGUUUUUUAGGAACAAAAUGUCAUUGUGUCUUCACAAAAACAAGUAAUACCAAUUUUUCCCAGGUCUUCCAUUAACAAAAGGUGUUAUAUUGUGAGACUGUAAUAAUCAUGAAUAAGAUUUAACAGCUCCUCCUUGUCCUUGUCCUCCUGCUUUUGCUCUAGCAAGCCAACAUUCCACAAUCUUAUCUUCAGAGAGUUCUAUUUUGCGGACUGGACCAGUGGAGUCCAUGGAAGUUUUGCGUCAAUUAAUCCUUUUUGGAAGUUACUUCAAUAGAGACAUUAUAAUAUUCUUGAGCUUGCCGGUAAGUUUUGUUGGGGUAUGAACAUUAAUGAGGUCUUUUUUUGUAUAUACUGUCCAAUUUGUCUUGCGCACAUAUUUUCCAAGCAUGUGAAAUAUUUUACAAAAAUAAAAAGCGUGUUUACAUUUACCCCAAAAUGAUGUUUACUUUUACCCCAUAUUGCAAAAUAUUUGGGGAAAAUAUAAACACUCUUCAAUUAUUUUAGUAAUAAAAAUUAAACUUUUGAAACCAGUAAAUAAGGAGACAACAAAGCCUUAAUAAUCCUGGAAAAUUGUCGAAGUUCCACUUUCCUUAAUAGUAAUUCAUUUACAUAACUUUUACAUUUGUGUUAAACAAAAAAACGAAAAUUUUUGCAGGGGUUUGAGAAGCCAAACAAACUCGUCAAAAUAACGUGAUUCCUUAAAUACUGGUGGUAGGGGAAAUCUUUUUGUCGAAGAGGCGCGGCGUUGCAGUUUGGCGCUAAAUUUAAACUCCUUUUAGGUAGCGUUUAAAAUUUCCCCCGUUUACAAUUACCCCGGUUGAACGUAAGCUGAUAUUCAUUAUAUACUUUUUUUCUGUUCUGAGACUUCUCAAAAACUUCCAGGUCUGUGUUACUCUGGUCUUAAAAUCCUAAGUAUUUUUCUACGUUUUCACACCUUCUCCCACCUUUCAUUCUUUCUUCCGGCAACUUCUUUUUUCGUUUCUCUGCUUAGUUCAACUUACAGUCAUGGUCUUGUGGGUUUUUCGUGUUUAGCCAUGUAUAACAAGUUCUUUUCUUCUACUCAAUUUUCCCCCUUGUUUUCUUUGUUUCUAUAGUUCAGUGAUAAAGUUUUAUGGUCCGUCUGGUAAAUACAUUUUUUGAUUUGCUCAUAUUCUUCUUCAGCAGUUUCUUUUCCCCUCGUUUCUGCAAAUUUCGUAGCUAACCUUAGUUUGGAUAAUAAUAACUGAACCGAUUCUUAUGUUUGUCUCUUUAAAUUAUAUAUUUUAUUAUCGGCUUUGUAAAUUUCCUUAUUUGCUCUUUCCUAUAAUUUAUUGUUAUUGUUGCCACCAGCAGAUAAUGGGCCGAUCCACAUUCGGCUUACGUCUUUUGUUUAUAAUCUUGUAUCUUGCGGUUGAAUGGAGUAAUUGAUCGUAAUUUUUUCUUUGGUUGUUCCCAGGUGAAUUUAGGAAUGUUUUUGUGAUGAUAAAAUCUAUUCAUUAUUUUCAUGUCUAGGCCAAUGAGUUUUCCUUUUUCUUCCUUGCCUACUUUGGCAUUGAAAUUGACUCAAAGGCAGAUUUUUUUGCUACGUUUUAAAUUUAAGUUUGUCGAAAAACUCGUCUUUUUCUUCCAUCUCCGCAUCGUCACUGGGCGCAUAUAUUCCAACUAUAACAACUCAAAUUGAACUGAGGUGGCUUUGACUUGAUGAAAAUCCACUUAUCAAAAUAAAUAAGAACUAAAAAUUCAGAUUUUCACGAAAUUAUAUAUUUUUACACGACAAUUAUUUAGACAAUACCGUGUCUUUAUCAAAUGCACAUUUGUUGUUUUUGUUGUUUUGUUGUUCAUUGUAAUAAUCCGUUCGCCAAUUUCUUUCCAACUGUUUAUUAUGCUCCUGUGUUUUUUGUGUAUCGCUCUUUUUGCUCUUAGGCUUUUCUCCGCUAUAGAAAUGGAUAUAUUCAUCUUUUAUUUCACUUUCUUUACCUUUUUUCUUUGUUUCAGUUAUAACACAUAAAUCAAUGUUUUGCUGUUUUCAGACUCAAAACCAACCGCUUGAUUGACUACAUACGUAGACUACUAAAAAAUAUUUAAAAUUUGAUCCAAAAUACUGAUAUAGAGGGUAUUAUACAAAAAUAACCAAAAACUAAUUUCAGAACGGAAAUACCAAUAAUAUACAUUAUGUCCCAUUUAAAAUAUCAAAGUUGAUGCUACUUCUUCGAAGCAGCAGUAAAAUUGCGUUGCGGAAAAUGUGUUAGGUUCAGGACGGCCCUACGUUUCAUUCAAGACAAGCCACAGCUAAUAAUAUGCAGGUGACACGUCUUUCUCGACAUACGAUGAUUUCAACUCACCCCGGAUAUUUGAGUAAACAUGUCUUAAUUUUACCCUCAAACAACUGAAAGCCGUUUGAGAUAGAAGAGAUUCGAAUGUCGGAAAGUAGAGGAGCCUGCUACCAUACACGUGGUAGUGUUUUACCCACUGGAGUAAUUGGUUAUUCUGUUGCAUUUCAAAAUAUGCUGGUUCUGACAAAUUUAAUGUUUCACGUAUUACGCUGCUAAUCAACUUAACUGCUUUGAAGAAAGAAAUUUAGAAUAAGAAAUUACAACUGUAGAGCGUGCGUAUUCUAUGAACCCCUUCGAGUCUGUACUUGUUGAGCUUAGAACGACCGUUAGGUCGACUAUAUCAACUAUUUGGCAGAUCACGCUAAUUGUCUAAAAGUAUAAAAAUCCCUUUCGCACAUUAACAAGUGUUAUGACUAAUUGUUUUAACUGUUGACGUCUUAAAAUGUGAAAAACCACUUGAAAAGUUAUUGAAAAAACUUUUUUUCAUUUUCUAAAUCUCUGGAUUGCCUAACGUCUGUAGUGCGCCCGCGAUAGUCGAUGGAAGUUCCUGGAACUCUGCGAGUGGGGGGGUUAAAACGGUAGCGCUGGAAACGGACGGGUAGUAUGGAGUUGCGAGGUGAGGAGGCUGGUUCACCGUUUUUGAAUUCGGACCCGGCAGGCCGCCUCAAAGAGUGUUAUUUUGUUUUGAUUGUUUAUCGUGGGACAGUAUCGGGUUCCCAAUACUGCUCCUCUCAGGUGUAUCCUUCAUUUUCGCAAAUAUAUGUUGUUUAUUUUACUCCAGAA
Molecule: RNA transcript, 6590 nt
Organism: Cylas formicarius (sweet potato weevil)
Lineage: Eukaryota; Metazoa; Arthropoda; Insecta; Coleoptera; Brentidae
Exons: 7
Source: RefSeq, a predicted model, not a curated record